Molecule: ribosomal RNA, 466 nt
Filed under: uncultured bacterium
Lineage: Bacteria
Description: partial 16S ribosomal RNA
Rfam family: Bacterial small subunit ribosomal RNA
Source: RNAcentral
GAUGAACGCUGGCGGCGUGCUUAAUACAUGCAAGUCGAACGAUGAAGCGCAGCUUGCUGUGUGGAUGAGUGGCGAACGAGUGAGUAACACGUGAGUAACUUGCCCGUAACUCUGGGAUAGGCCUGUGUAACUAGGGCUAAUACCGAAUAGAAGCGUACACCGCAUGGUGGGUGUUUGAAAGAUUUAUCGGUUUUGGUUGGACUCGCGGCCUCGUAGCUUGUUGGUGAUGUUAGGGCACAUCAAGGCGAAGCCGGGUAGCCGGCCUGAGCGGGUGACCGGCCCCACUGGGACUGAGACACGGGCCAGACUCCUUCGGGAGGCAGCAGUGGGGAAUAUUGCACAAUGGGCGAAAGCCGGAUGCAGCGUCGCCGCGUCAGAGAUGACGGCCGUCGGGUUGUAACCCGUUUUCAGUAGGGAAGAAGAGAAAGUGACGGUACCUGCCGAAGAAGCAACGGCUAACUACGUG